UGAGUAAUGUCUGGGAAACUGCCUGAUGGAGGGGGAUAACUACUGGAAACGGUAGCUAAUACCGCAUAACGUCGCAAGACCAAAGAGGGGGACCUUCGGGCCUCUUGCCAUCAGAUGUGCCCAGAUGGGAUUAGCUAGUAGGUGGGGUAAUGGCUCACCUAGGCGACGAUCCCUAGCUGGUCUGAGAGGAUGACCAGCCACACUGGAACUGAGACACGGUCCAGACUCCUACGGGAGGCAGCAGUGGGGAAUAUUGCACAAUGGGCGCAAGCCUGAUGCAGCCAUGCCGCGUGUGUGAAGAAGGCCUUCGGGUUGUAAAGCACUUUCAGCGAGGAGGAAGGUGGUGAGGGUGAGCUUAAUACGCUCAUCAAUUGACGUUACUCGCAGAAGAAGCACCGGCUAACUCCGUGCCAGCAGCCGCGGUAAUACGGAGGGUGCAAGCGUUAAUCGGAAUUACUGGGCGUAAAGCGCACGCAGCGGUUUGUUAAGUCAGAUGUGAAAUCCCCGGG
RNAcentral lists this ribosomal RNA (509 nucleotides) under uncultured bacterium. Its description in RNAcentral is "bacterial SSU rRNA". It matches the Rfam family "Bacterial small subunit ribosomal RNA", at positions 107 to 607 of the family's 1533-position model. The record is from RNAcentral.